RNAcentral lists this long non-coding RNA (1180 nucleotides) under Numida meleagris (helmeted guineafowl). RNAcentral's name for it is "lncRNA (ENSNMEG00000007752.1)". The record is from RNAcentral. Lineage: Eukaryota; Metazoa; Chordata; Aves; Galliformes; Numididae.
GCUGAUUUCCAGACACAUUUUGGAAAUGACUGGAUUCCCUACUGAGCAGAAGUCCCAUUUUGCUAUCCGCUCUGGUUAUAUAGAAGUAAAUGCCACUGUGAAAAGACCUCUUUCCCUGUAAUAUACUUUACUUCCAGGAUGGUGAAUUACUGAAGUACUUUCCAUGGCUUUAGUUUGUCCAGAGGCACAAUCUCGCCUUUCAUUAAAAUCAAUCUCAUAAUCAGUUAUUUGCUUACAGAAGUUGCGGAUGCCGUACCCCUGGAAGAGUUUGAGGCCAGGCUGGAUGGCGCUUUGGGCAACCUGAGCUAGAAGGAGCCCACGACAAGGGGAUUGGAACACAUGAUCUUUAAAAUCCCUUCCAACUCAAACCAUGCCAAGAUUCUGAGAUUUAUUUUCUGUUAGCGGCUCUACUCAUGGGCCAAGGUGUACUUGGUACCUUCCUGGGUAGAGAUGGAGUUUUGUAGACUCUGCCAGCCAUCAGGAGCCAGCUGUGGCCUGAACAUCCUGCGGACAAAGGGGCAAGAGCAAAACCAAGAGAUCAGAUUCUGGUCCGGAAGAGGCUGGGUUGUGGAUCAAGCACAUAGCACAUAGCUGAUGGAAAAGCCGAUGAUGAUAAAUAAGAGGGUUUUGGGGGUCAUCUGUUUUCAGCCAGCCCAUUCAGGCAAGAAUAAGCUUUUAUUUUCUUCACCAUGACAGCAUAUGUCAAGCUAACAAUGGCUGGGUAUUCCUCUGAGGCUGUAAAAUAAGCUCAUUCAUACUUUCUCUCUCUUUGUUGCAGACAGAACAGAAAAGAAAAAGAAAACCCUACUGAGCUCCUGCUCGCUCUCCUGACCAAGUGUUCUCCCACUCACCACUGUCAUUGUCAUUCCCAGCAGCAUCACACCAACCACAGGAGCAGGGCUGGGGUUUGAGUCCAUGGCCAUGUUCCCACUGAGAUAGGGCUGAGUCAAUGCCCUGUGCUGGGGCAGGGGGCCCUGGAGCCCAUCCUGCAUCUUAGGCAGCAGCAAUAGUACAUCCGCACCUGGAGAAUGCCCAGCACCUGGGGAUGGUUGGCAUGAGACCUGAUUCAAUAACACCCCAAAUUUCAGAGCUUGUGAACAGCCAUUGAAAUCUUGGUAGUCUAAUUUAGCUGAAAAGCAGACCUCACCAAAAAAUAAAUGGCCUCAUAAGCGCUGGAACA